Molecule: ribosomal RNA, 405 nt
Filed under: uncultured prokaryote
Description: bacterial SSU rRNA
Rfam family: Bacterial small subunit ribosomal RNA
Source: RNAcentral
UGGGGGAUAUUGCACAAUGGGCGAAAGCCUGAUGCAGCAACGCCGCGUGAGGGAAGACGGUUUUCGGAUUGUAAACCUUUGUCUUUGGUGAAGAAAAAAAUGACGGUAACCAAGGAGGAAGCCACGGCUAACUACGUGCCAGCAGCCGCGGUAAUACGUAGGUGGCGAGCGUUGUCCGGAAUUACUGGGUGUAAAGGGAGCGCAGGCGGGACUGCAAGUUGGAUGUGAAAAUUCGAGGCUUAACCUCGAACCUGCAUCCAAAACUGCGGUUCUUGAGUGAAGUAGAGGUAGGCGGAAUUCCGAGUGUAGCGGUGAAAUGCGUAGAUAUUCGGAGGAACACCAGUGGCGAAGGCGGCCUACUGGGCUUUAACUGACGCUGAGGCUCGAAAGUGUGGGGAGCAAACA